This is a small nuclear RNA of 189 nucleotides. It matches the Rfam family "U2 spliceosomal RNA". Rfam says of the family: U2 is a small nuclear RNA (snRNA) component of the spliceosome (involved in pre-mRNA splicing). The record is from Rfam.
AUACCUUCUCCGCCUUGUGGCUAUGAUCAAGUGUAGUAUCUGUUCUUGUCAAUGUGACAACUGAUAUGUCUCCAACUGGAGACUUGCUUGUCACAUCUAUUUUUGCUGGGGAAGUGUCUUCAUGAGCUCGCUCAGAAGCCUUCACGUGCUGCGCUGGCAUAGCACCAAGCCAGUGGCAGCACACCCUAC